UGGUACUUGUACCGACUGGAUGAGCAGCGAACGGGUGAGUAACGCGUGGGGAAUCUGCCUUUGAGCGGGGGACAACAUUUGGAAACGAAUGCUAAUACCGCAUAAAAACUUUAAACACAAGUUUUAAGUUUGAAAGAUGCAAUUGCAUCACUCAAAGAUGAUCCCGCGUUGUAUUAGCUAGUUGGUGAGGUAAAGGCUCACCAAGGCGAUGAUACAUAGCCGACCUGAGAGGGUGAUCGGCCACAUUGGGACUGAGACACGGCCCAAACUCCUACGGGAGGCAGCAGUAGGGAAUCUUCGGCAAUGGACGAAAGUCUGACCGAGCAACGCCGCGUGAGUGAAGAAGGUUUUCGGAUCGUAAAACUCUGUUGGUAGAGAAGAACGUUGGUGAGAGUGGAAAGCUCAUCAAGUGACGGUAACUACCCAGAAAGGGACGGCUAACUACGUGCCAGCAGCCGCGGUAAUACGUAGGUCCCGAGCGUUGUCCGGAUUUAUUGGGCGUAAAGCGAGCGCAGGUGGUUUAUUAAGUCUGGUGUAAAAGGCAGUGGCUCAACCAUUGUAUGCAUUGGAAACUGGUAGACUUGAGUGCAGGAGAGGAGAGU
Molecule: ribosomal RNA, 602 nt
Filed under: Lactococcus lactis
Lineage: Bacteria; Bacillati; Bacillota; Bacilli; Lactobacillales; Streptococcaceae
Description: bacterial SSU rRNA
Rfam family: Bacterial small subunit ribosomal RNA
Source: RNAcentral